GCUUGUACUCUUCGGACGCGUAGUAAUUUACGCAUUUUAAUUUCGUUUAUAAUUUAAAAUUGUGCAUAAAUUUUGCAUCUAAAGUACUCGCGUAUUAUUUUUAAGUGUUUUCAAUAUAUACGUUCUAUUUGUAAACGAUUUUCAAUACGUUUAUUCGCGUAGUGAUAGUUUAUUACAUAUUUUUCGUGUUCAAAGUAAAUACGUUUAUCGCGAGUGUUUCGAUCGAAAGUACGUUUUAUUCGAAAGUGUUUCUUCGCGAUAGUUUCGUGUUUUUUAUUCGCGAGUGUUGGUAAAUUUCGUCGAUUACGAUGGAUCUAUUGAUGGAUAGAAGGAAAGCGUUGAAGGAAGCCACAAACAAGCUGUAUAAAUGCGUGAAAGCUACGAAUGAUUCGGCCUGUUAAAGAUACAUUAACGAUACAUUAACACUCCUCAAUACGAUAGACACACUCCAAGUGAUAACAAAUGAAUUUAGCGGAGAAUGGUGGAGGAGUAAUUAAUGGGAGAAUUUUCGUUUCGCUAUCGUUAUUCAGUUCGGCCGGCGCGGAAAGACAGGGUGCAGGUGUUGCCUGUGUCAGAUAAUGGCUCGGCUAUCUGCACAUCCGCUAAUUCGGGAUAGGAGCUCGCCGGCAAAAUCCUGACAGCAGGGAGUUUUGGCCGAGUGGUCGCCACACCACUAGAUAGAUAGAUAGAUAGAGAGAGAGAGAGAGAGAGAGAGAACUGGUAAUUGGUGUCUGAAAGCUGUUUUCACCCGGAAACCAAUCGUCCUCCUCUUCGACGAAACUUUCGCAGCGGAGUUUCCAGAUGUAGACCAUCCACCGUCGUGUAACCAAUCGUCGAAACCGUGCCACCCAGCAACCCGUGGAAGAAAAAUUGCGGCCGGUGAAGCGCGAAAACUGUGCAGGGAACACGUGGAAAAGUUUGGUGGCCGUGGUUGGCUAGCGUGAAACCGCAUCACUUUUCUGAUCGCCGAUAUCACGGGAAUACUCUGAUUGAACCGUUACAGAAACGUUACAGAACAGAAAAAAACCUUUAGGGAUGAAAAUCCAGAGCAGCACAACUGACCACAGCCACUAGCUUCGUACGUACACGAAACGAGCCGGCCACAUUCACGAGCGAGCUCCCAGGAGUCGUAUAGUUGGUGACUAGUAAUUAGCUAGACGAGUGACACUAUCUCCUUUAUCACUCCCCGUGGAUACAACGAGCACGCGAUAUCCUAGCUCAGGCCUCGUAUACAUUCGUUUCCUAUAAUUUAGCGUACGUAUAAUUCCUUGUUAUCGGAUCAAUCAUAACGUAUAAUUCACGUAGGUA
This is a long non-coding RNA of Apis dorsata (giant honeybee), 1308 nucleotides long. RefSeq lists it as uncharacterized. Lineage: Eukaryota; Metazoa; Arthropoda; Insecta; Hymenoptera; Apidae. The record is from RefSeq and is a predicted model, not a curated record. The transcript has 3 exons.